UCUCGGAUAGCUUAACUGGUAGAGCCCUUGACGCGUAACCAAAGGAUUCGGGUUUGAUUCCCGGCUUGAGCC
Molecule: transfer RNA, 72 nt
Filed under: Cotesia glomerata
Lineage: Eukaryota; Metazoa; Arthropoda; Insecta; Hymenoptera; Braconidae
Description: tRNA-Thr
Source: RNAcentral